This 425-nucleotide ribosomal RNA is filed under the name uncultured bacterium. RNAcentral's name for it is "bacterial SSU rRNA". It matches the Rfam family "Bacterial small subunit ribosomal RNA", at positions 355 to 775 of the family's 1533-position model. The record is from RNAcentral.
UCGAGAAUCUUCGGCAAUGGGCGCAAGCCUGACCGAGCGACGCCGCGUGCGGGAUGAAGGCCUUCGGGUUGUAAACCGCUGUCAGAGGGGAGGAAAUCAACGGGGGUACUCUCCCGUAGUUGACCUAUCCUCAGAGGAAGGACGGGCUAAGUUCGUGCCAGCAGCCGCGGUAAGACGAACCGUCCGAACGUUAUUCGGAAUCACUGGGCUUAAAGGGUGCGUAGGCGGCGCAGAAAGUAGGGUGUGAAAUCCCUCGGCUUAACCGAGGAACUGCGCCCUAAACUACUGUGCUUGAGUGAGAUAGAGGUGAGCGGAACUUAGGGUGGAGCGGUGAAAUGCGUUGAUAUCCUAAGGAACACCGGUGGCGAAAGCGGCUCACUGGAUCUCUGCUGACGCUGAGGCACGAAAGCUAGGGUAGCAAACGG